GUGAAUCAUCAAAUUUUUGAACGCAAAUUGCGCUCUCUGGUAUUCCGGAGAGUAUGCCUGUUUGAGGGUCAGUUUAAAUACAAAUCGGGGUGGUUGCUGCGAUUCGUGGUGAGGCACCGGAUUUGGGUCGUCUUACCUUCAGCUAAGUAACCUAAAAUUUUGUACGAUUUUUUUCAAUGGUAUUUAAAUGAUUAUACGUACGUUUGCGAUAUCUACUACUCGGUGUGGUCAUUCACAC
Molecule: unclassified non-coding RNA, 238 nt
Filed under: Glomus sp.
Lineage: Eukaryota; Fungi; Glomeromycota; Glomeromycetes; Glomerales; Glomeraceae
Description: partial contains 5.8S ribosomal RNA and internal transcribed spacer 2
Rfam family: 5.8S ribosomal RNA (bases 1-71)
Source: RNAcentral